GAAAUGUUAGGAUAAGUAAUCCAAUAGAUUGUGGUUCUAGAAAUAUAUGAUAUACAUUUAA
Molecule: transfer RNA, 61 nt
Filed under: Whitmania laevis
Lineage: Eukaryota; Metazoa; Annelida; Clitellata; Hirudinida; Haemopidae
Description: tRNA-His
Source: RNAcentral